This 74-nucleotide transfer RNA is filed under the name Candidatus Kerfeldbacteria bacterium CG08_land_8_20_14_0_20_40_16. Its description in RNAcentral is "tRNA-Tyr". It matches the Rfam family "tRNA". From Rfam's summary of the family: Transfer RNA (tRNA) molecules are approximately 80 nucleotides in length. Their secondary structure includes four short double-helical elements and three loops (D, anti-codon, and T loops). Lineage: Bacteria; Candidatus Kerfeldiibacteriota. The record is from RNAcentral.
GCCAAUGUAGCUAAGUCGGUAAAGCAACUCCGGUAAGGAGUAGGUCCGCGGUUCAAGUCCGCGCAUCAGCUCCA